CAGCAGUGGGGAAUCUUGCGCAAUGGGCGAAAGCCUGACGCAGCAACGCCGCGUGCGGGAUGAAGGCCUUCGGGCUGUAAACCGCUUUCAGCAGGAACGAAAAUGACGGUACCUGCAGAAGAAGGAGCGGCCAACUACGUGCCAGCAGCCGCGGUGACACGUAGGCUCCAAGCGUUGUCCGGAUUUAUUGGGCGUAAAGAGCUCGUAGGCGGUUUAGUAAGUCGGGUGUUAAAACUCUGGGCUCAACCCGGAGAGGCCAUCCGAUACUGCUGUGACUUGAGUUCAGGAGGGGAGCGGGGAAUUCCUAGUGUAGCGGUGAAAUGCGCAGAUAUUAGGAGGAACACCGGUGGCGAAGGCGCCGCUCUGGACUGAAACUGACGCUGAGGAGCGAAAGCAUGGGUAGCAAACAGGAUUAGAUACCCCUGGUAGA
This 430-nucleotide ribosomal RNA is filed under the name uncultured bacterium. RNAcentral describes it as "bacterial SSU rRNA". It matches the Rfam family "Bacterial small subunit ribosomal RNA", at positions 349 to 794 of the family's 1533-position model. The record is from RNAcentral.